This is a long non-coding RNA of Lolium perenne, 1094 nucleotides long. RefSeq lists it as uncharacterized. The record is from RefSeq and is a predicted model, not a curated record. NCBI's taxonomy places the organism in Eukaryota, Viridiplantae, Streptophyta, Magnoliopsida, Poales, Poaceae.
CAUUUGCAUAUUUUUGAAUUAUAGGAUGCUUCCCAAACUCAAAAUGGACCUAGGAUUUUCGCGAUGCCAAUUUUAGAGAAAUACAAGAAUCAGUGCACUAGUAGAAAAUGGGUCUUCCGUUCGGAGUUGCAAGGAGCAUUAGUCCCGGUCGCUAUUUGAUUCAGGACUAUUGCCGAUUCCAACGGCUAGAACGCACGGCAAGCUUUAGUACCGGUUCGAUCGGGACCUUUAAUCCCAGUUGGUGAUACCAACCUCACUAUAUUUUUUGUACGCUAUAUAUGCAGAAUGAAGAUUGUAGAAUGCAGAAGAAACAACAUCUUUAAUGUUGGGUUCAUUGACUCAUAUCACAAUCAUUGUCUUACGGUAGAACAAUAUCCUAAGGACACGAAGGAUAACUUGCUAAGGUUUUAGUCCAACAAAAUAAAUGUUCAGAAAUACUAUUUCCUUACAACUUCUCGGGAGUAUUACUGUCCUUUUGCACAUAUUCUAUUUUGCUUAAAUACAUGAUAUUUAGUACUAUAAUUGAUGAGUUAUAUGCAUUCCUGCAUAUGUAAACGUGUGCAGCUUCCACUGAAUUCUGUUAAUUAUUUAAAUUGACAAUGAAAAAGUUGAUAUCAUCGACCCAUUAGACAAAGAUACUGAGUUGUACAGGAACUUAUAUGAUAUGAUCCAGAGGUAAUUUCAAUCAUUAUCGCACUAUAUCGGCCUCUUUCGUUCAUUUCCUCAGUUCCUCGGCAUUAUCGCAGGGUUUGGAAAAGGUUCAUAAAAAAAGUUCCCGGUCAAUUGAAACCUAAGCUGCGUUUUGUAAAGCAGAAAUGGUUGAUGCAGGCGGAGGGGACUAAUUUAUGUGCAUACUUACAUCCGCAUGAAUACCACUGAGCGGCGCGGCGUAGGGAGGAUUUCCUUCAACUUCUAUACCGGAUGAACGUGUGCAAGCAAUUCAAGAGGAGUUGACGAGAUUUUUGCUUAACGAGGUCAUACAUAAAGGCGGAGAACACCAUUGCCGCUAAUGCAUCCAUGUAUUCUAGUGAUCUCCAUGUAAUUAGAUAGAAACUAUAACAAAUUAUAUAUAUAUCGUAAGAGGCAUUAUAUUA